GACGUAGGGCGCGAGCGUUGUCCGGAAUUAUUGGGCGUAAAGAGCUCGCAGGCGGUCUGUCGCGUCUGCUGUGAAAUCCCGAGGCUCAACCUCGGGCUUGCAGUGGGUACGGGCAGGCUAGAGUGCGGUAGGGGAGAAUGGAACUCCUGGUGUAGCGGUGGAAUGCGCAGAUAUCAGGAAGAACACCGAUGGCGAAGGCAGUUCUCUGGGCCGUAACUGACGCUGAGGAGCGAAAGCGUGGGGAGCGAACAGG
Molecule: ribosomal RNA, 253 nt
Filed under: uncultured bacterium
Lineage: Bacteria
Description: partial 16S ribosomal RNA
Rfam family: Bacterial small subunit ribosomal RNA
Source: RNAcentral